GACGAACGCUGGCGGCGUGCUUAACACAUGCAAGUCGAACGGAAAGGCCCUGCUUUUGUGGGGUGCUCGAGUGGCGAACGGGUGAGUAACACGUGAGUAACCUGCCCUUGACUUUGGGAUAACUUCAGGAAACUGGGGCUAAUACCGGAUAGGAGCUCCUGCUGCAUGGUGGGGGUUGGAAAGUUUCGGCGGUUGGGGAUGGACUCGCGGCUUAUCAGCUUGUUGGUGGGGUAGGGGUUUACCAAGGCUUUGACGGGUAGCCGGCCUGAGAGGGUGACCGGGCACAAUGGGCCUAAGAUACGGCCCAGACGGGUACGGGAGGCAGAGGUCGGAAAUCUUGCACAAUGGGCGGACGUCUGAUACGGCGACGUCGGGUUCGGGAUGACGGCCUUCGGGUUAUAAACCGCUGUCGCCUGUGACGAAGCGUGAGUGACGGUAAUGGGUAAAGAAGCACCGGCUAACUACGUG
Molecule: ribosomal RNA, 468 nt
Filed under: uncultured bacterium
Lineage: Bacteria
Description: partial 16S ribosomal RNA
Rfam family: Bacterial small subunit ribosomal RNA
Source: RNAcentral